This 743-nucleotide ribosomal RNA is filed under the name uncultured bacterium. RNAcentral describes it as "bacterial SSU rRNA". It matches the Rfam family "Bacterial small subunit ribosomal RNA", at positions 1 to 735 of the family's 1533-position model. The record is from RNAcentral.
AAUUCGAUUAGAGUUUGAUCCUGGCUCAGAUUGAACGCUGGCGGCAUGCCUUACACAUGCAAGUCGAACGGCAGCACGGGAGCUUGCUCCUGGUGGCGAGUGGCGAACGGGUGAGUAAUACAUCGGAACGUACCCAGGAGUGGGGGAUAACGUAGCGAAAGUUACGCUAAUACCGCAUAUUCUGUGAGCAGGAAAGCGGGGGAUCGCAAGACCUCGCGCUCUUGGAGCGGCCGAUGUCGGAUUAGCUAGUUGGUGAGGUAAAAGCUCACCAAGGCGACGAUCCGUAGCAGGUCUGAGAGGAUGAUCUGCCACACUGGGACUGAGACACGGCCCAGACUCCUACGGGAGGCAGCAGUGGGGAAUUUUGGACAAUGGGGGCAACCCUGAUCCAGCCAUGCCGCGUGAGUGAAGAAGGCCUUCGGGUUGUAAAGCUCUUUCGGCGGGGAAGAAAUGGCAACGGCUAAUAUCCGUUGUUGAUGACGGUACCCGCAUAAGAAGCACCGGCUAACUACGUGCCAGCAGCCGCGGUAAUACGUAGGGUGCGAGCGUUAAUCGGAAUUACUGGGCGUAAAGCGUGCGCAGGCGGUUUCGUAAGACAGACGUGAAAUCCCCGGGCUCAACCUGGGAACUGCGUUUGUGACUGCGAGGCUAGAGUACGGCAGAGGGGGGUAGAAUUCCACGUGUAGCAGUGAAAUGCGUAGAGAUGUGGAGGAAUACCGAUGGCGAAGGCAGCCCCCUGGGUU